GUGACUGCGUACCUUUUGUAUAAUGGGUCAGCGACUUAUAUUCUGUAGCAAGGUUAACCGAAUAGGGGAGCCGGAGGGAAACCGAGUCUUAACCGGGCGUUAAGUUGCAGGGUAUAGACCCGAAACCCGGUGAUCUAGCCAUGGGCAGGUUGAAGGUUGGGUAACACUAACUGGAGGACCGAACCGACUAAUGUUGAAAAAUUAGCGGAUGACCUGUGGCUGGGGGUGAAAGGCCAAUCAAACCGGGAGAUAGCUGGUUCUCCCCGAAAGCUAUUUAGGUAGCGCCUCGUGAAUUCAUCUCCGGGGGUAGAGCACUGUUUCGGCUAGGGGGCCAUCCCGGCUUACCAACCCGAUGCAAACUGCGAAUACCGGAGAAUGUUAUCACGGGAGACACACGGCGGGUGCUAACGUCCGUCGUGAAGAGGGAAACAACCCAGACCGCCAGCUAAGGUCCCAAAGUCAUGGUUAAGUGGGAAACGAUGUGGGAAGGCCCAGACAGCCAGGAUGUUGGCUUAGAAGCAGCCAUCAUUUAAAGAAAGCGUAAUAGCUCACUGGUCGAGUCGGCCUGCGCGGAAGAUGUAACGGGGCUAAACCAUGCACCGAAGCUGCGGCAGCGACACUGUGUGUUGUUGGGUAGGGGAGCGUUCUGUAAGCCUGUGAAGGUGUGUCGUGAGGC
Molecule: ribosomal RNA, 676 nt
Filed under: Salmonella enterica
Lineage: Bacteria; Pseudomonadati; Pseudomonadota; Gammaproteobacteria; Enterobacterales; Enterobacteriaceae
Also listed under: 1 other name
Description: partial 23S ribosomal RNA
Rfam family: Bacterial large subunit ribosomal RNA
Source: RNAcentral